AUGGGGUGCAGCAGGCGCGAAACCUCCGCAAUACACGAAAGUGUGACGGGGUUACCCAAAGUGUUCAAUUUUGAACUGUGGUAGGUGAGUAAUGUUCCCUACUAGAAAGGAGAGGGCAAGGCUGGUGCCAGCCGCCGCGGUAAAACCAGCUCUUCAAGUGGUCGGGAUAAUUAUUGGGCUUAAAGUGUCCGUAGCCGGUUUAGUAAGUUCCUGGUAAAAUCGGGUAGCUUAACUAUCUAUAUGCUAGGAAUACUACUAUACUAGAGGGCGGGAGAGGUCUGAGGUACUGCAGGGGUAGGAGUGAAAUCUUAUAAUCCUUGUUGGACCACCAGUGGCGAAGGCGUCAGACUGGAACGCGCCUGACGGUGAGGGACGAAAGCCAGGGGAGCGAACCGGAUUAGAUACCCGGGUAGUCCUGGCCGUAAACGAUGCAUACUAGGUGAUGGCACGGCCAUGAGCCGUGUCAGUGCCGUAGGGAAACCGUUAAGUGUGCCGCCUGGGAAGUACGGUCGCAAGGCUAAAACUUAAAGGAAUUGGCGGGGGAGCAC
This 548-nucleotide ribosomal RNA is filed under the name uncultured archaeon. RNAcentral's name for it is "bacterial SSU rRNA". It matches the Rfam family "Archaeal small subunit ribosomal RNA", at positions 325 to 879 of the family's 1478-position model. The record is from RNAcentral.